This 646-nucleotide ribosomal RNA is filed under the name Evagetes sp. CSM-2006. Its description in RNAcentral is "SSU rRNA". It matches the Rfam family "Eukaryotic small subunit ribosomal RNA", at positions 105 to 717 of the family's 1831-position model. Lineage: Eukaryota; Metazoa; Arthropoda; Insecta; Hymenoptera; Pompilidae. The record is from RNAcentral.
AUCAGUUAUGGUUCCUUAGAUCCUACAAAAAUUUACUUGGAUAACUGUGGUAAUUCUAGAGCUAAUACAUGCAAACCAGAGUCCCUCUCAGAGAUGAGGGGGACGCUUUUAUUAGAUCAAAACCAAUCGGUGGCGAGUGGCGCCAGCUGUUCGUCCAUCGUUUGCUUUGGUGACUCUGAAUAACUUUUCGCUGAUCGCAUGGUCUUCGUACCGGCGACGCAUCUUUCAAAUGUCUGCCUUAUCAACUGUCGAUGGUAGGUUCUGCGCCUACCAUGGUUGUAACGGGUAACGGGGAAUCAGGGUUCGAUUCCGGAGAGGGAGCCUGAGAAACGGCUACCACAUCCAAGGAAGGCAGCAGGCGCGCAAAUUACCCACUCCCGGCACGGGGAGGUAGUGACGAAAAAUAACGAUACGGGACUCAUCCGAGGCCCCGUAAUCGGAAUGAGUACACUUUAAAUCCUUUAACAAGGAUCCAUUGGAGGGCAAGUCUGGUGCCAGCAGCCGCGGUAAUUCCAGCUCCAAUAGCGUAUAUUAAAGUUGUUGCGGUUAAAAAGCUCGUAGUUGAAUCUGUGUGCCACACUGUCGGUACACCGCUCGUCGGUGCUUACUGACACGAUGUGGGACGUCCUACCGGUGGGCUUAGCUC